CCUCGAUGACCGCGGCGGCGGAUUUGGCAAGGGUGCUCGGAUUCGGCUCGUCCGGCUCCGGUGGCCUGCCUCAUCGUCGACUUGAAGGUGCUGCUGCUCGAGCGCGGCCCGUGGUCUGCUAGGUGGUGGAGGGGCGCUCGGGGGUGGCGGGGUUGGCGCUGGCGCCCAGAUCCACCUCGUCCUUCUCAGGUGCGUCGGGGGCUGGCCUGCUCCUUUCCUUCGGCGCUGUCUCGAUCCGGCCUGCCUCUGUGCGCCGCUGCAUCUUGCGGCAGCCCUCGGCUUCUCUGGCAAGCGGCUGUUCCAGCUCGGGGAGGCGCGACCCUGGCCGUUCCUGUGCUCGGUGGGGCAGACUAAUUUCUGCCCAGAUCCGGUGCACGGUGAUGUGGUCUCGCAAGAUCCGGGCAGCACGCGCCCUGUAGAUGCCGUCAUGGUUUGUUGGUUGCUCAUGUUCCGGAUGCAAAAUUCUGGGUCGACUUGGUCGACGCCGGCGGCAACGGCGGCUGUGGCUGUCGUUUUCCUCGCGGAGGUGCUACCGUGGAGCUGUUUCUCAGCCGCAAACCUCCUGUUUCGUUGUUUUCCGGGUGAAAACCUAUGGUCGCAACUGAGGUCCUCUGACACACACACGGGGCGCAUGAAGGCAGGCAGGCAGGCACAUGUUUUGGAGAGCUAACCUGAAUAUCUGAUGGUUCUGUAGUGAGUGCUGUAAUGUUUGCCUCAAGUUGUUACUCUGGGUUUGCAUGAGGUGUGCUUGCUGUUAGUGUGUGGCUUGUUCUAAUCGUGGAUGUACCAGUAUCUCUGGCGACCGGCGAGAGAUAAUUCUCUGGUAACUGAAAAAGACCUGAUGGGUGGAAACUUUAGCUCUGAAUGAAGGACUUGCUUUCGGUGGUGGGUUAUAAAACAUGAUCAAGCGGUGACCUGCUUCGGCUUGGGCGCGCAGUCAUCGCGGAAAUCUGGACAUGAACGAUCAGGCGCCAAUCUAGACAACAGCACAUCGCGGAAAACUGUAGUUUUUUUGUUUUUUUUGCGGGCAGCGGAAAACUGUAGUUGUAGCACCGACACAUGGCUCAAAGCUUCUCGUGCUAUAUAUAACUACUCCCUCCGUCCAGAUUUAUUAGGCCUCACAGCAUCACAAGCAUGUCCCGUUUUAUAAGACCUCGCUUUGAAAAGGUGCAUGCAUGCAACCACUUUAUUGGUUGCAUUGAAAGUCAUUAUUGUUGGUGUCAUGGUCAGAGAAUUAAUACACAUUGAUUGCAUGCAUGUGACAAAGUGCAUUGGGAGUGAAAUGAAAGAAUUAAUGUGAGCAAAUUACUAUGUGUCGUGGUCCAAGAGAAGUUGUCUUUAAGUCUAACUAGGACAAUGCCCGCGUGUUGCAACGGGAUAUAAAUAUACUAGUACGCUAGUUUGUGAUUUACUGAUUGUAUAAAUAAAUAUUUAUCAAAUCCUAUCCAUGAUUAUUUUAUAUUUUGAUGAGAAGUUUGAUAAAUAAAUUAAAAUAUAAUUGGUUUAUAAGGUAAGUAAAUUAAGGUGAGUGAUUAUCAUAUGUGGAAGAUUGGAUGAAGGAGUGAUGAAAAUAAAAGUAAAACAUGAACCCUACGUUCUUCUUUAAGUAAUAUAGUUAAUUGUCCGUGUGUUGCAACGGAUUUUGGUAGCCAUGUUUCCCUCCAUCUCUUUCUCUUCCUUGGAUCUUUUAUGUAAGCAUGCACAUGGACACACACAUAUUCUAGUAAUCAUGUUUUCUUCACGCUCCCUUUUUAUCGGAUCUUUCAUGUAAGCAUGCACGUGUAACACACGUAACACUUUUGUGUUGACGCCGGUCGUGGAUUACACGUAUUGUUGCUACCCAUCACCGGCUCAACAUUUUAAAAUCUUUGCAGGAAGAUCGUGCUCUUGUACACGCACAACAACUGCUACCUUGCCGAUUGCGCAUCAUUUCAGCUGAUGACAGUUGCUAUCUUGCCUAAUGUGCAUGUGGGAGUGCAUGACUGAUGACAGUAAAGAAGUGCUUUUGGAAAUAGUUCGAGCUUGCCUAUCAAUGAGAUUAAUUACUGGUGGUUUCCAUUUUCAAGAUAGGCAAGUAUCAGAAAGGAUCAAAACUUACCUAUCAAUUAUAUUUGUUACUUUUCUCAACAAAAAUAAAAGCGUAUGUGUUACUGAUGACCAUGGAAACAGUCCGAACUUCUGUGUAUUGUGUUGUCUUCACCAUGAAAAAAAA
RNAcentral lists this long non-coding RNA (2212 nucleotides) under Triticum aestivum (bread wheat). Its description in RNAcentral is "long non-coding RNA (TAES_LNC002963)". Lineage: Eukaryota; Viridiplantae; Streptophyta; Magnoliopsida; Poales; Poaceae. The record is from RNAcentral.